Molecule: long non-coding RNA, 406 nt
Organism: Cucumis melo (muskmelon)
Lineage: Eukaryota; Viridiplantae; Streptophyta; Magnoliopsida; Cucurbitales; Cucurbitaceae
Exons: 3
Source: RefSeq, a predicted model, not a curated record
UCCAGUAAGAUUCAAUAUUUUGGGCACUAGUUAAUUUAAUUUGGAAUUAAAUUAGAUCAUUUUUCCUUAAGGGACGUCUUGGACCAAGUAACUGCUGCAGCGGGGGAUUUCUUCAGUAGGGGCUUGAGCACUGCAAUCUCCUUCUAGGUUAGGACCUCGUCGCUUGGAAAGCGUACUGCCUCGCGGUUAGGACUCGUCAAGUAAAUCUCCAGGUAGAGGACGGGGCAAGGGCAAGGGCAAGCUGGCGAGCGACCCGAAGUGAGACCAUGGAGGGCCAUAGGGACUACCGCUUCCGCUUAUUCUUAUUUCAGAUUUUCGCAUUUGAAUUUGAGUACUUUUCAUCACCUACCAUCUUUUAUGUAGAUAGGGCCCGAGUAGGAUUUCAGAACGCUUUUACAUUUUUGCA